GAAUAUUGGACAAUGGUGGCAACACUGAUCCAGCCAUGCCGCGUGCAGGAUGAAGGCCCUCUGGGUCGUAAACUGCUUUUAUACGGGAAAAAACCCUCCGAUGCGUCGGGGGUUGAUGGCACCGUAAGAAUAAGGGUCGGCUAACUUCGUGCCAUCAGCCGCGGUAAUACGAAGGACCCGAGCGUUAUCCGGAUUUAUUGGGUUUAAAGGGUGCGUAGGCGGAUUGGCAAGUCAGUGGUGAAAUCCUGCAGCUUAACUGUAGAACUUUCAUUGAAACUGCCUGUCUUGAGUACAUUUGAAGCGUGCGGAAUGUGUCAUGUAGCGGUGAAGUGCUUAGAUAUGACACAGAACACCGAUUGCGAAGGCAGCUCGCUAAACUGUCACUGACGCUGAGGCACGAAAGCGUGGGGAUCAAACAGG
Molecule: ribosomal RNA, 420 nt
Filed under: uncultured bacterium
Lineage: Bacteria
Description: bacterial SSU rRNA
Rfam family: Bacterial small subunit ribosomal RNA
Source: RNAcentral